CCCUUAGAUGUUCUGGGCCGCACGCGCGCUACACUGAUUCAUGCACUAAGUAUAUAACCUUGGCAGAAAUGUCUGGGUAAUCUUUGAAACUGAAUCGUGCUGGGGAUUGGAGCUUGUAAUUAUUCUCCAUGAACGAGGAAUUCCUAGUAAACGCGAGUCAUCAGCUCGCAUUGAUUACGUCCCUGCCCUUUGUACACACCGCCCGUCGCACCUACCGAUUGAAUGGUCCGGUGAAGCGUUCGGACCGCUUCCUUUGGACGGGCAACCGUCUGUUGGUCGUGGGAAGUUCGUUAAACCUUAUCAUUUAGAGGAAGGAGAAGUCGUAACA
This 328-nucleotide ribosomal RNA is filed under the name uncultured eukaryote. RNAcentral describes it as "partial 18S ribosomal RNA". It matches the Rfam family "Eukaryotic small subunit ribosomal RNA", at positions 1470 to 1796 of the family's 1831-position model. The record is from RNAcentral.